AUCUUAUCAAGAGUGGCAGAGGGACUGGCCCUAUGAAGCCACAGCAACCGGUCUUGUUUUAAUAAUAAUAGACAAGAUGCUGGUGCUAAUUCCUGUCUCGGUUGUUGGGAAGAGAUAAGAU
RNAcentral lists this non-coding RNA (121 nucleotides) under Planctomycetota bacterium. Its description in RNAcentral is "Planctomycetes bacterium SAM-I sequence". It matches the Rfam family "SAM riboswitch aptamer (S box leader)". From Rfam's summary of the family: The SAM riboswitch is found upstream of a number of genes which code for proteins involved in methionine or cysteine biosynthesis in Gram-positive bacteria. The record is from RNAcentral. Lineage: Bacteria; Pseudomonadati; Planctomycetota.